CAAAGGUUGAGGAUUUGGGGUACCAAAUUGUCAAAUUAACAGCAAUUUGAAAACUUUGGGUAUUGAACUGUCAAAAUUAGGCAUUAAAGUCCGAAUAGAUUGGAAUUUAGGGGUAUUAAACUGCAAAAGGGAUUUCUUUCUUUUUCUGUGCUACAAGAAAAGAACUAUGUAUGAGGAUGCAGGCUCCUUUUUUGAUAAAGUAAAGAUUAAGAAAGCAGCAAGGGGCUCAUAUCUUUGUUCCUGUUUUCUUGCAAAAUUAUUGAAUGCCUACUUUUCUUAUCUUUUUGCCUUUUCUUCACACUCUACUGAGCCCCCACUCUCUGUUGUUCCCAAGCCCCAAGCUUUUUGUGUCCCUUAUCUAACAUUUUAGAGCCACUUGCUUACCAUUGUACCCUUUUCAUGGUAUGGGCGUCACAAUUAAUUCCAAACAAUCCGGGUACCAGCUAAUUUGAACUGAGAGCUGAAAAUGAACUUGAUUCGGAUUAGUCUGUACUAGUUCCAAUCAGCUUAUUCCAAUCAACUGAAUGAUGUCUAUCUAUGCAAAAGGUGUUUCAGUGUUGAUGCCUGGAAACGACAUACCUACCUACAUUGCGCAUCCUGCUCCUCCUCCUCUCCCAUGCCCACCUGAUCGAGUUAUUUGGCCACCUCACCACCAUAUACCAAUCGGCGAUUCUCUGCCGAGUUCAAGUUAGAACUUUCUCACUUCCACCACAGAUAUUAUUGACCACGUCUAAUUCAACAGCGUAGAGAUGUUCAUCAAUCCUGGAAUUAUAUAUGCGGCUGUGGCUAGUAUUUGCUUCUUCAGGUAACUAGAUCUUUUCAGGCGGUUGUAACUCUAAUUUAAGCGGCUGCAAUGAUGAGUGCAGUCGAAUGCUGUUGAAAUGUGUAUAAAUCUAUUUUCAUGAUGUAGAAUUAUUGCUGCCCCUGCUCCUGAGAGUAAUUAGCGUGGUGGCAUAUCGAUGUACAAGAAUCUUUAUUAAUCUUUAGAUUUCCUUCCAACUUGAUGAUUU
This is a long non-coding RNA of Asparagus officinalis (garden asparagus), 1010 nucleotides long. RefSeq lists it as uncharacterized. The transcript has 2 exons. The record is from RefSeq and is a predicted model, not a curated record. NCBI's taxonomy places the organism in Eukaryota, Viridiplantae, Streptophyta, Magnoliopsida, Asparagales, Asparagaceae.